UACAGUUAAACCUGUCACCCGUUCUGUGUGACCAGGGGUGGCCCAGAUGGCUGCCACAGCAAAUUCUGAAGCUCAUGGGCCCCAGGCCCCAUGCCCUGGGAUCUGAGGAUAAGUUUGGCUGCAGACAUGG
Small nucleolar RNA from Manis javanica (Malayan pangolin), 130 nucleotides. RefSeq annotates it as small nucleolar RNA SNORA5. Lineage: Eukaryota; Metazoa; Chordata; Mammalia; Pholidota; Manidae. The record is from RefSeq and is a predicted model, not a curated record.